Erinaceus europaeus (western European hedgehog) is the source of this 284-nucleotide unclassified non-coding RNA. Its record names the gene 7SK. It matches the Rfam family "7SK RNA". Rfam says of the family: 7SK was discovered as an abundant small nuclear RNA in the mid-70s but a possible function has only recently been suggested. The record is from Ensembl. Lineage: Eukaryota; Metazoa; Chordata; Mammalia; Eulipotyphla; Erinaceidae.
GGAUGUGAGGGCGUUCUGGCUAUGGCAUCUGUCACUCCAUUGAUCUCCAGGGUUGAUUCAGUUGAUCUGGCUGGCUAGGCAGGUGUCCCCUUCCUCCCUCACUGCUUGGAUGGCCUCCCACAAAUAGAGAUGGACUGGUCUUCAGUUGAGAGUAUACUGAACUGAGUAACUGCGCUCCCCUGCUAGAACCUCCAAACAAGCUCUCAAGAUAAUCAAAUGUGUUGACAAGAUAAAUUAAUUAUUAUAUAUACAGAAUCUGGACAUUCCCGAGAAAUUCAGCCUUU